AUCAACAAUGCGCAGCAAUGCUACGUCACUUAAGGGACUAAUUACCUGAUUUUUACUUACAGGUGGUGGCUGCAUUUGUACCACCCACAGAGCUUGCGAAGUUAUAAAAUCCAACACACCCUCCCAUUCACUAGUGUAGAAAUUUAGCUUAGGGCGAAACAUGUGCGUUUAUUCAAAGUGCCACGGACAUACAGUGGGAAGGGCGGUGCUCAAAGAGGAAAGCGAGGCGAAAUUUGAGGUGCUGUCCUAUACAUCAUGCUGUGUAUUCAGUCAUGUAUAAAUUGGUGUGGGAAGGCAGCUUGACAUGUGAUUACCAGCACACACAGGAGAUAACUGCAAUCAAACAACUUGACAACAACACUGCAGCUGAGCCACCAGUCCUAGGAUCCUCAGUAAAUAGAAGCUGUGUCCCAGUGUCCCAUUUCGAAGGCUCCUUCCAAUGUGGCUGAGAAAUGUGUUGUCCUUUCGCUGGUCAACGGAGACUCCAACUGGUGGAUCUUUUGCAGCUAACCCUGUUCCAAGAGCCUUUGCACACUGGCAGAGGCAGAGCGGCUCUCAAGGUUUCUAGGCAACAGUAGGGGCAGUGAGUAUGCUGCUGUCUUCAGUGUCUAAAUCUAAGCCACACAGACUGGUCAGCACUCUCCAUUAAGAAAGGAAAAAAGACGGAAAGGGGUCAGAAAGAUAAAUGAUCCAGCCUCUAGUACUGGUCAAGUAAUGGAACAUAAUUGGAUAGUCUUUGGGAGAUGGUGAGAAGAAGAAUGACAGCUUAGUAAAAUCAGGGAAAGCUGCUGAUGGAGAGCCAGCCUACACAGAAGAGGAGUGACAGAACUGACAGAAAAUUUUGCAGGUAUUGUAUUGGCCUGGAGAUCACAGAGUAGGCUUCACCCCAGUUCAUCCUGAGAGGGAACAUGAAUGACUGUAACAAGCACAAAGGCAAUCCAUCCAACAACUGUGAAGGAAUUCAAAACCAGAAGUAUCAGCCUCAUAAUGCCAGGGAUAACAAAAUCAACAGGAUUCAUUAAGUCAGUCUUGUGUGAAAGUUUUGUGCC
Long non-coding RNA from Monopterus albus (swamp eel), 1049 nucleotides. RefSeq lists it as uncharacterized. The record is from RefSeq and is a predicted model, not a curated record. The transcript is spliced from 5 exons. Lineage: Eukaryota; Metazoa; Chordata; Actinopteri; Synbranchiformes; Synbranchidae.